UGAGCGUCCGCCUGGCUUCCGCGGCUCUUCCGCGUCUUCGGCUCUCAAACAGGGGAAACUCGGGCAUUGAGUUCUCAAGAAUAAGAACCCUAGCUCUGCUUCCUGACUGGGUUGGAAAAUGGAUAUACCUUAUUUGAUUAUGAUGUUGGACUGAAUGAUAUAAUUCAGCUGCUAGUUCGCCCAGACCCUGAUCAUCUUCCUGGCACAUCUACACAGAUUGAGGCUAAACCCUGUUCUAAUAGUCCACCUAAAGUAAAGAAAGCUCCGAGGGUAGGACCUUCCAAUCAGCCAUCUACAUCAGCUCGUGCCCGUCUUAUUGAUCCUGGCUUUGGAAUAUAUAAGGUAAAUGAAUUGGUGGAUGCCAGAGAUGUCGGCCUUGGUGCUUGGUUUGAAGCACACAUACAUAGUGUUACUAGAGCUUCUGAUGGACAGUCACGUGGCAAAACUCCACUGA
This 454-nucleotide small RNA is filed under the name Pan troglodytes (chimpanzee). Its description in RNAcentral is "processed transcript". Lineage: Eukaryota; Metazoa; Chordata; Mammalia; Primates; Hominidae. The record is from RNAcentral.